GAAGGAGGAGCUUGCUCUUUCCGGAUGAGUUGCGAACGGGUGAGUAACGCGUAGGUAACCUGCCUGGUAGCGGGGGAUAACUAUUGGAAACGAUAGCUAAUACCGCAUAACAGUAGAUAUCGCAUGAUAGCUGCUUGAAAGGUGCAACUGCACCACUACCAGAUGGACCUGCGUUGUAUUAGCUAGUUGGUGAGGUAACGGCUCACCAAGGCAACGAUACAUAGCCGACCUGAGAGGGUGAUCGGCCACACUGGGACUGAGACACGGCCCAGACUCCUACGGGAGGCAGCAGUAGGGAAUCUUCGGCAAUGGACGGAAGUCUGACUGAGCAACGCCGCGUGAGUGAAGAAGGUUUUCGGAUCGUAAAGCUCUGUUGUAAGAGAAGAACGAGUGUGAGAGUGGAAAGUUCACACUGUGACGGUAUCUUACCAGAAAGGGACGGCUAACUACGUGCCAGCAGCCGCGGUAAUACGUAGGUCCCGAGCGUUGUCCGGAUUUAUUGGGCGUAAAGCGAGCGCAGGCGGUUAGAUAAGUCUGAAGUUAAAGGCUGUGGCUUAACCAUAGUACGCUUUGGAAACUGUUUAACUUGAGUGCAAGAGGGGAGAGUGGAAUUCCAUGUGUAGCGGUGAAAUGCGUAGAUAUAUGGAGGAACACCGGUGGCGAAAGCGGCUCUCUGGCUUGUAACUGACGCU
RNAcentral lists this ribosomal RNA (692 nucleotides) under uncultured bacterium. Its description in RNAcentral is "bacterial SSU rRNA". It matches the Rfam family "Bacterial small subunit ribosomal RNA", at positions 69 to 747 of the family's 1533-position model. The record is from RNAcentral.